CAUGUUUAUUUGAUUAUUAAUUUUAGUACUUAAGGACCGUCAACAAACUUCCCCAAGCUUACCCUUUGCUCAUCCCUGAGCAAAUAGCUAAACUCAGACGGAUCAGGAGUUGCUUCGAUGUUUUCUUUCCUGACAGGCACACAUGCAUUUACAAAAUUCUUCCAGAUUAGAGUGAAGUGUUAUGGAACUUAGUACCUGCACUUAAGUCUCUAAGUAAUUGAAAGACAAAAUAAUUAAGUCAAGCACUAUUCCUCCUGUCUAUACUUCACCUUUGUUCCAGAGUUUUUCAUAAGUUUUCAAAAUAAAACUCAGAGUUCCCAGCAAUGAUUCUCUCAAGUCUCUCUAUAUGUGGUAUUUGUGGAUCCUUACCAAAAUAUCACUUACCUAUAGCUAAUGGAAUAUUUAAGUGGAGCUCAUAGGAAUGAAAAACAGCUCAUACAUAUGUUGUCUAAUCGAGCCAUGGAUCCAAAGGAACUCAGCAUAUAAUUAUAUUAAGAUGUGCAUGUGUGAUGGAGUAAAUGAUAGUGAUGGUAGAAAUGUAUAAGUGAUAAUAAAACUUCGUUCUCAUUGCUCCUCAUAUUGCUACCUCUUCUCUUCUUUGAUCUUUGCUUUGGGAGAACAUGGGCUAUCUCUUUUUUUUCUUCUCUCUUUUUUUCAGAUGGGUAGUAGAUACCGCUAAUUCUACUGUCGGACACUUGUCCAUUUUUUCCGCUCAAGUGGGCAUCUUUGUACCCCUAAUUCUACUUUGGACACUUGUCCAUUUUUACCUCUCGUCUCACUCUUUUUCUUUCUUUUUCGAGGUUCUGGGCACUUGCCUCUUUUUAUUUCCUCGCAUAUUUUUGCAUAACCCGUGCCUCUUCUGCAUUAAAUCUUUUUAGAGAGAGAGAAUAACAAUACUUGGGACAAUGAGUGAUAAUAUUUUUAGCAACUUUAAUAAAUGGUGGUGGAUGGUGUGGUAGAUGUGUGCAAGUGAAUAUCUUAAUUUAACCACAUGAAAAGCUCCUAAGGGUCUACACAGCUCGAUCAAACUCAAAGUGAAUAUAGUAAAAGAUGUUAUAGCAAGCAUGACUGUGGUAGGUAGUUUGUAAUGCUAGGAACUCAUCAUGUGAUUUGCAAGUUUUCAAAAUAAAUCUACAGAACUUAGUGUACUAGGAACAAGAUAAACAGUAGCUCACUUUAUAUCAUGCCUUUCUCUUACCUAGACUUUUAGUUUUAUGCUUCCCAAAGAUCGUAAUUUCAGUUUUAAUAAUUGCUGGAAGAACUCUAAUAUAAAAGCUAGGUACUUGAAAGUAAACAAACAGAGCAACUAUUCAUCAUUUCCAUCAUGCAUCUUUUUGGUCUUUUUAUUUUUCUAGAGAUUAAGACUUAGCAGAUAAAUAAAGCACACUUAUCUACACACUCUUUUUAUUUUGUUUUCAUGUUUAUAAAAUGCAGUAAAUUAAAGCAAGAAAAUAUUUAUUGGGUU
This 1465-nucleotide long non-coding RNA is filed under the name Sorghum bicolor (sorghum). RNAcentral's name for it is "long non-coding RNA (SBIC_LNC015861)". Lineage: Eukaryota; Viridiplantae; Streptophyta; Magnoliopsida; Poales; Poaceae. The record is from RNAcentral.